Long non-coding RNA from Alligator mississippiensis (American alligator), 4732 nucleotides. RefSeq lists it as uncharacterized. The record is from RefSeq and is a predicted model, not a curated record. The transcript is spliced from 2 exons. Lineage: Eukaryota; Metazoa; Chordata; Crocodylia; Alligatoridae.
UGGGACGCUGGCAUGUUUUUUCGGCCACUCGGUACCUCGCAUGCGGGGUUCCUGCCCUCCUUCUCGGGGCAGGCACUAUAUUCCCUGCCCGAGGCCCUGGAGACGAGUGCCCUGCCCUAGGCCAGCCGUUCUUCUGGGCCCCCGCACGUAGCCUGCAGCCCCACCUGGCCUGCAGGGUCCAGGGCCCCUUGAUUUGGGUUGGGUUGGGUCUCGUUCCACUUGCUGAGGUUGGCCAUAGAGGAUACCCACAGACUACAUGGGGGGCUGCAGGCUUCUGGAGGAUCCUGAGUGCGUUGGGACCCCGAGCCUCAGUGACCUUCCUGUAACUCAGGUCCAGGUCUCUGCUCCUCUGUUCUGCUGCUCCUGGCACUAUGAGAUGCCCCCCUGCACCCUGUACACAGAGCUGCACCCCCACCCAAUCUGACCUUGGGGGAGGAGGCCUCCUUUAACCCUUUGGGCUCUGUGGCUUCCGUGGCAGGAGACUGAAGUCGUGGCCCUUGUCCUGUCUGGCCCUUCUGUCCACAGGGCAGCUUUGACUCCUGAUCGAGACCGCCUGCGGCACCUGUCAGCUGGCAUUCAGGAUUUUGCAGGUUGCCUCCGGACUUCAUGCCCCACCAGCCAGCUGUGUGCAGGGAGCAAUGCCCAGUCAGCAGGGUUUUUUGUGUUUGUGGUCAGCGUUCAUGGUGCCACCCUAGCAGUUCUGUCCAGAGUCCUGGCCCGUUGCACUCAACUUUUGGCUGGCCUGGAUGUCGGCAACCAAACCUACAUAUCUCUGCCCUCCCUGCUUUCUGAGGGCAGAGUGACCGUGGGUCCAGGUGAGAGUAAACGAGGGAGAGAAGUUGGGGCCUGUAGUCUCGUCGUCUGACGUGCAGACUUAAAUCCAGUGUCUGUCUGUUUUUUAACCCCUGGAAGGAGAAGCAGACAAGACGGCAGAUGGGCAGCCGUUAGCCACUAAGGAGAGAAGACAUCCCCGCCCGCCCAGCAGGAGGGAAAGGUAAAGGAGUUUGCACACGGUGUCUGGCCUCUCUGCAAGUUGCAUCCCCAAGUUGUCAAUCUUGUGUUUAGCACCUUGUGGAAGGUGGGAGCCCUGGGGCAGCCGCGCACACAGGAUUCAUGUGUUAGGUCCUGCUGUUGUCAUACACGGGUAACUGCUAGGGCGGUACUCGUCCUCUUUUAGUAAACUGGAGGUAUGUCACAUCCCCCUUGUUCUUAAAGGACACCAAUCUUGAGAGUACGAUGGGCACUGGGAGAUACUUUUUACUCUAUUUUUCCUAGGGUGUGGGAUUCAUUGCCAGUCGAGUCCAGUUCUUUUGUGUGUACUCUUGCAGGUCCCUGGAGGGCAGCUGGAGAAAAAGGAACAGAAGCAGGAAAAGAAAGCUAGGGACCUAGAAGUGUGGGUUGGGGUGGGCAGGAGGGAGGGAGCAAAAUGUUUAUGUAUGCUUAAGUAAUUCCAGAUGGAGAGUGGUGUGCAUGUCUACAAUUUCCAACACCCAUUAGGAGCAAGCAGCCGCACGCUUCAAGUUGCACUUGGUCUUGGGUUGGCCUCGAUUGUGUGCAGGGAGGUUGAGGCUUUGUGCUAGUUGUGCAUAUUGAUAUGCAGCAGUGAAAAGUUUUGAAGGUUGUCUGGCUUGGCUAGUUAAGCAGUGGAUCAGAAUAGAUGCAGUUGAAGGCAGCUUGUAAGUUUUCCUUGGUUGGGUUGUUGAGCUGUACUCGGUGUUAGUGUAGAAAUGCAGGUUUGUGCUCAGUUCUGUUUCUGCCUUGGCUGUAGCUUGCUUAGGCUGCAGGUUGCGGGGCUGAUUUCAGGCUGUUUGUGGUACAGUUUGUUUGAGUCUGGUAGUUAAGGCUCUAUGGGUGUUUGAAAGCAUUUAAUCUCCAGCUCCCUGACCCAUGAGGAUGAAGGACUCUUCCUGUGUCCAAAGCAUCCUAAAGGGAGUUGGUGUGAUCACUGUGAAAACGGUAGGAGCAAGCAAGCCUAAGAUGCGGACAGUCUAAUAAUAAUAGGUCUAAGAAACUUCACCUCGUGGCUGGUGCUUUUCUACGCUGAGAAGAUUUGGCCGUGGGUCUUUUCUGUUGUGAGCUGGCUGAAGGAUGAACUUUUUCUUUGUGGCUGCCGAUCCGAUCUGUGUUCUUACUUGUGCAAUGCAAAUAUUUCCCCUUCUGAUGGACCAGUGGUAAAGGAGUGUGCAACACAUGGUUCCUAGUUUACAACGGUUAAUGCACUGCAGGACAUCAGUCCUGAUUUCUUUGAGGAACUGAAAAAUAAGAUCCAGUGAAGUUGUGGUGCUUUGGUAUAAUCUGUUGAAGUUCAGCAGUCCCUCGUCUCAAAAGAAAAAAUGGUCCCAAUAAAAAUAAAAUGCUCUGGCAAUUUAUGAGUUUCUAGGUGGGUUUUUUUCAGUCCAGGUGUUUCAGAUCUUGCCUGGCUGCCUUUAAUACAAGUCUUGCUAUUUCUAAUGGCUGGGUGGGUUCUUUUUCUCUAAGGACUGGGUCCCUGCGGUGGGAAGCUGCAAUGUCAUUGUUGCAAGAAGGGGAAGGACUGUGUGGCUCCCCAGUUGCCUCCAGGUUUUUGUGAGUUCUGUAAGCCCGGGUGUGGUCCUUCCCCCCUUGACUGUUUACUGUAAUGUCUGCAGCCUUUCAGCCAGCUCUACCUAUGUCAUCCCUGAGGGGCUUCUCAGUUUGGGGGGAGCCGAACGCAUCUUCUCAGCGCUAUUAUGUAAUUGGUUUUAAUAUAUUUUUAUUUCUAAAAAAAAUUACUUUUUCAAAUGUAUUUAUUUUAAAUAUUGGGGAAAACACGUAGUGGAAUUCCAGGGCAUUUGGAUGGAAGGAGGGAAUUAAUAUUUUUUUAAACAGUGAAACAGAAAUGUGUUUGAUUUGACUUCUGAUUAAUGUAGCAUAUCAGAUACACAAAAAAAACUUAAAACUGAGAACAGGGAGCUGAAGGGAUGGUGUUAUUUAUUCAAUGCAUGCGUACUUUGGAAAACUUACAUUGUACAGAGGUGUAUGCAGUACAGCUGUGUGCGGAUACUGAUAUGCAGAGAGUGUGUGUGUGUUUGUGUGUGUGCGUAAUAGACAGCAUCAUUAACACAAUGGUGUCUCUCUCUGUCUCUGUACAUGGCGAUAGUGAUGUAGGUGUUCAUCUCUCACCCUUGCACAGCUCCGCGCACGAGUGUGUGUCGUUAGUGUGGGUAUCACACGUGUCAUGCGGCAUCCUCACGAGCAUGGACGAAACGCGGCUCAGUGCUGCCCUCCUCUGGGGCGCUCCCAGCACUGCAGCCACGACAAGCGGGACCGCGGAAGGGAGACAAACCGGCUGCUCGGUGCUGCCCUCCUGUGGCCACGCCGGGCAUUGCGGCGGGGAGACCCGGGCGGGCACGCAAGCCUCCUCCGCGCUGCCGCCUGGGGCUGGAGCGGGGCUUGCAGCCCGGAGAUGUCGACCCGGGACGAAGCCGGGUCCGCGCCGACCUCCCUGCGCUUCAACCGAAACCCCUGCCCUGUGCUACUGCCCUAGGGCUCAAGCCGGUCUUUGCAGCCGAGAGAUGAGGGCAGAGAGAGGGAAAGCGGCUCCGGGCCCCGCGCCUGGAGCUCGGGCAGGCGGGAGAUCGAGGCAUAGAGGGAAGGAGAACAAAGGCGUCGCUCGCUCGGGGUCACUGGGGCGGUGCCCGCGGCCGGGGCAGGCGGGGUGGCGCUGCUCGGGCUGACACACGAUGCGCGACAUCGACUCAGGGCCGGGGAGAGCGCCAGCGCCGGGAUCCAAGGCUCGUGUUCUCAUUGGUCAACAUAAGGCGUGAGGCGAUUGGGUGGAAUGGCCUCAUGGGCGGAGUCACAGCCAUUCCGCCCUUCUUCGCUCUGAUUGGCCUGUACCGAGGGAGGCGGGCCUAGGAGCCCGGACUCCUUAUUCGCAUUCUGAUUGGCUAACGUGCAAGGUGGGUGUCUGCGGGUUUCUGUGCGCCGAUUGGUCCGACUCCAAUCCUCAGCGGGUUGUCCACCCGCGCGGCGCAGAGCCCAUGUCGUACUGCUGGGCCGGACCGGCGGGCGGACCCGGAGCGCUGCGGCACGUGCUGUGGCGACCACGGCGGGUCGUGCGGGAGACUGGUGAUGUAGGUGUUCAACUUUCACCCUUGCACAGCACCGCACACGAGCGUGUGUCGUUAGUGCAGGUAUCACACGUGUCAUGGGGCAUCCGCACCCAGCAUGCAGUAAACCUGGACGUGAAGGCUCCGUGGGUGUUUGAAAGCAUUUAAUCUCCAGCUCCAUGACCCAUGAGGAUGAAGGACUCAUCCUGUGUCCAAAGGAUCCUAAAGGGAGUUGGUGUGCUCAGCGUGAAAAUGGUAGGAGCAAGCGGGCCUAAGAUAUGACCAGUCAAAUAAUAAACAGUCUAUGAAACUUCACCUCGUGGCUGGUGCUUUUCUACGCUGAGAAGAUUUGGCCGCGGGCCUUUCCUGUUACGAGCUGGCUGAAGGAUGAACUUUUUCAUUGUGGCUGCCGAUCCGAUCUGUGUUCUUACUUGUGCAAUGCAAAUAUUUCCCCUUCUGAUGGACCAGUGGUAAAGGAGUGUGCAACACAUGGUUCCUAGUUUACAACGGUUAAUCCACUGUAGGACAUCAGUCCUGAUUUCUUUGAGGAACUGAAGAAUAAGGCCCAGUGAAGUUGUGGUGCUUCGGUAUAAUCUGUUGAAGUUCAGCUGUCCCUUGUCUCAAAAGAAAAAAUGGUCCCAAUAAAAAUAAAAUGCUCUGGA